Molecule: long non-coding RNA, 6658 nt
Organism: Myzus persicae (green peach aphid)
Lineage: Eukaryota; Metazoa; Arthropoda; Insecta; Hemiptera; Aphididae
Exons: 2
Source: RefSeq, a predicted model, not a curated record
AAUAAAUAAUCUGUUAGUCACAUGCAUGUUAUGAUAGUUAUUAAAGGCAUAAACAAAUCAGCUUUUGUUAGUAUUUGUAAAAACUCAUGGCUAAACAGACUUUGUUAAUCGACCACUCAAUAUAUACAUUAUGACUCACCAAGCUUGCUAAUCCCCCUUGUAUAUAUAGUAUCUUUAAUAAUACAUUAUUGGUUAAUUGUAAUUGAUUAAAAAUUCAGGGCCGACCGUGCAAUCUGUGCACUUGGUGUUGAGGGGGCCGCACAUCGAAAGGCCACACAGCCUGUUGUCAAAAUAAAUUAUCCGGUCCACAGUUCGUGUAUUUAUCUAAUGAUUCAGAUUCAUCUAUAUGCUUAAAAUCGGACUAUUUCUGAGACCUCAAAGGAACACUCAUUGGCCACUAUUGUAUAGGUCCCCUCAAAAAUAUUUCGCUCAAAGCCCCAAUAUUCAUCAAGCCGGCACUACCUGAAAUAUAUUAUUUCCUACCUACUGGUUCUUAAAUAGCCUAACUGAUGGCAUCAAUUUAUUCUAGUUCAGCUCUCAAGUGAACUUUUUUUUAAAUUAUAAAAAGCACAUACCUACUUAUUUGAUACCUGUCACUCGAUCGGGCUAUUAAAAUCAGAAACAUCCCUAACUUGUUAUGUAAAACCACCUUGGGGUAGGCUCGGGGUUAAAACAAAAUGAUUAAAAGCACAUAUACACCCGGCAAGGAUUACCAUGAAUUGUCUUUACUCAUUAUGCCACGAUAUUUCAAUACUUCAAAACGAAGUCCUGACGACAAAUUCUGAUGGCACUUUAUUAUUUUUUUUAUCAUAAAAUACUUAGGAGUUAGGAAUAGAUAAAAAAAAUUUUAAAUCGCAUAGAAAUUAAGCUAAAAGGUCUUUUAAUUUAUUUGAGCUUGUCAUAUUUUUUUAAGAAUUUAGUAAGGACUGGCCAAUUUCGAAUCAGCCCGGACUUGCGGUCCGAGUGUCUCUCUCUGUCUUCGAGUUUGCGUCUAACCAGUAGGUACCUUCUCAACCUCAGUGACACAACUUAAGUUCAAAUCUUGGGGGGGGUUAAGCACUCCCUGGUACCCCCACCCCUCCCCCUAUAGUUAUGUCACUGCUUAACCUUACCUAUUGUUAACGCAUUAAAAGUAUAAUAACUAAAUCAAAGUAGGUAGUACCAGUGGCGUGUAACAUAGGGUCCAAGUAUUGCUAAGGCAACACCUUAAAUAUGGGUGAGUGUGUAUUGAUAAAAGAAAAAUAGGGCAUUUUAUAGGUCGGUAUAACAGUAUAAUGAGGGGUAGGUCACCAACAAUUAUUAGAGCAACACCUAUUUUUUUUAUGAUACACGCCACUGGGUAGUACCUACAACUAUCAGUGUUAUCUUGUUAUUGGUUAAACAUCUUGUUUACAACACGGUCACCUGUUUCCUCUUAACAAUACCACACAGCAUUGUGUCACACCUAUUCUGCAAUGACCUGUAUUGUGUAUCAACCAACCUGCCCUCUUCUACUAUAAAUUAUUAAUCGGAUACCUAAUAAAUUGUUUCGAAAACUCAAGGCAUCUAAAUGGAAACUUGUACGAGAUUCUCGUAUAGGUAACGAUAAGUUUCUAACCUAUUAAACUUUGUUGGUACUUACCUGGCCACUUACUAAUUUCUAAUGUAAAUGUUUAAGAUGGAUACUCCUAUACUAGCUGUAUAUAACCCAACUUUUCCCAGGAAAAUACGUUUUUAUAGUAUACCUACCUAUUAGGUCGGAUAUUAUAGCUAUUUGGUUAUAUUUUCGAACGUGGUACAAACCGUACUCCGUAAACUUGCCUGAUAUCUCUAAGAACAAUCUUUGAAAUUUUCGUCAAAAUCGGUCGAGUGCUUCAUGUCGACUUAUAUAGGUACUCAAGACUAAGCAACAAACAUAAUAUAGAAGAAGAAUUUUAUAAAUACCUAAUUCCUAUAUUUGUUUUAAGGUUUAAUACGAUAAAUAUAAGUAUAAUAGGUACCUACCUAUGUGAGGUACCUAUUGACGUAACGUUACCCACUUUUGUUUUCUAUUAGGUACCACAGGUAUGCAUUACAAGAAAAUUAAUUUAGUGGGUAUUUUUUUUAUUUUUUAACGAGGAGUAACGACCUGACUUUCGGUCACCUUUUAAAAACAAUAAAUAAACUUUCAACUACAACCUAUAUAAGUGCACCUCGUACUCAACUCUUUGACUAUGGUAGGUUAUGACUGCGUAUACAAAUACUGAAACACCCAUUGAAAUGAUAUAUAUAGUCAAGUGCCAAUAUAGAGUUCAAAAUUAACCCAUCAGUCAACUCAAAUUCUUGUGGUGAGAUGUAGGUAGGUGUGUCUACAUUUACGACACACGAUCUAGGUUUUCUUAUCGAACAGCGGUCUGCGCCAUAAAUUAUUCCUUUAUAACCGUGGGUACAGACACACUGCAAUUUUGAAUUUCUGAUGCAGAUUUGUGUAUGUAAUGUUUUGCGGUUCGUCUUAGGAAUUUUUGCAAAGUGUGAAACUCAGGUAGGUAUGACGACGAUAGUCACAAUUUAGAAUUUAGAUUAAAUCGUAGGUAGGCGCCACAGAAUAAAAUAUUUCAUUCACGUGUCCGUAUGCCCGAAUAGUGUAUAUUAUAUAUAUAGUCAUAUAAGACGCAGUGACUGAUUAGUGGACAUCUGAAGCAAGAGAGACAUAACACAAACGAUUUCGACUUGGGCGAUAUUUAGGUAAUGUUUUUGCAAAUUGUGAAUACAGCAUAUAUAUCUACUAGCGCAUCGCCCAAGCCACAACUGUAGAAAAUAAAGUAGCUUGGAAGGUAAAUAAAUAGGUACAAUGUAAAGUAUAACUUACAAUAUAAGUACUACACUUAAUGUAAUUUAAUUUAAACGGGCAGUUAUGUUGUAGAAUGUAGAUGAAUAGACAUAUGCCUAAUAGGCAUAUAGUUUCUUAUGUUAAAAGAUAUCAACGCGGCAUCUUAGAUAUAGACUACUUAAGCCCCAGCGAACACUUACAAAUUGACCUAAUGCGUGAAUACCAAAGCAUAACGUCAGUUCUCAUAAUGUAUCCAUAUAUAGGUAGGUACUUACCACAAAACAGUAUUCUACUUAUAUGGGCACGAUUGGUGUCUAUAUUAUAAUAUAGGUACCUACCUACCUAUUAUACAUAAUUAAACUGUCAUUGCCUAUCGAUAUAGACGGACCUAAGUAUGGCAACUGUUGAGCUAUAUUAAAAUGUUAAGUAAUUCACUUUCACGGCUGAUAUAGGUAAUAAUAUGUGCACCGUGCAGGUAUCGGGUCAUAUCCGUACAUGGACAUGGCGAAAUCAACUUUUGUCUGCAGUUUAUGUAAGGAAUCAAAAAUAAAAUUUGGUUACAUAUUAGGAGAAAAAAAAUUAAUGCCAAUCAAAAAAAAACCUAGGUCUCUAUUAUGAUAUCGUUCGAUCGUUUCAGAUGAUGAUAAUUUGAAUUGUUGAUACGUUUUCAGAAAAUAUAUUAUUAUAUAACCCAGGCAUGCCUCUUGCCUCUAUAAUAUAGGCAGAUAAAAAAAAUAUAGGUAAUACAAAACAAUACACAUAGAUACUGCAGGAGACAAUAUUUAGGUAUGUAGUGAAGGAUCUGUAGAUUGCAAUAUUGACUAUAAGUCCCUAUAUGACGACAAAUCCAUUCAAAAUAAGUUCAGUCAUACUUUAAGUAGUACUUACACGCUACAGUGCCGUGCCAAUUUUCAUUGGUGCCCCUAUUAAACAUACAUAAUAUUUAAACAUUUGCAACCCUUUAAAAUUACAACUUCUGCUCCCCAAAAGGGCACUUGUCCCAUCUACCCCACUUUGGAACGGUACCUAAGCUUGAUAUUAUGAUAGUAUCAGUAUAGGCAUAGGGGUUUCCAGGUGGGCCAUGGCCCACCCUAUGACUAUUACCGAAUACUUGUUACAGAUUGUGACUUACAUUAUAGUUACAUCAUAUACAUAGUAGUAUCGUCUUCUUCUGCAUUUCUGUGAUAUAAUAAUUGUGAUGUUUGCUAUUUUUAUACCACGAAACCAAUUAAUAAUAACUACCUAAUAAUUAUCUAGAAAAAUGAAAUUCUUAAAUUGGGUAUUGAUGGGGGAUUAUAUAAUCUGUACCUAACGGAGGAGCAGUCUAUCUAUUAUAUAUAGCUUAUUUUGCGAUGUCCCCCCUCCCUAUUUUUUAUCACUUAAUCUUUAAUCCCAUUAUAGCUUGAAUAAGAAAUAACAUGUUUUUGUUAUCAAUCGCAUCAAUGAAUAUAUUUAUACCUUAUAAGUAGUGACUAGUGGGUGAUGACCGAUGAGUAAAUGAAAGUAAUUUUUUAUCACCUAAAUUCAUUUUUUUCGAGUUUCAUUGGCUUGACCCACUCUGCCACAACCAGUUGCGCACGCCUGCACGAGUAUUUGAUGUAUAUAAUAUCUUUACAUGGUCCAAAUCGGAAGGUACCUAUUAUAUUACCUCCAUAUUAUUGUAUCGACAUUAAUCAUAGCCCGUAGGUAAUGCUUAUAGAAGAAUCCCAUAAAAUCAUCACAUUCAUAAUAUAUGAAUGUGACCAUGAGUAAUUAUAAAUAAUAAUUUUAAAUCCUUAUUGUAUUAAAAAUAGCCAUAUUGAGUAAAUGGACAAGUAUAUAAAUCGAUAUUCGAAAUGAACAUUUCUGACUCCUGCAGAGUUAUCCACCUAUUUAUGAUAUUUUACAGCCAGAGUUUUCCUUUUUGUGAUGAAAAUUUCGUUUCUUAGUUAUGAUUGUAAGCUUUUCGCUUCUUUCCCGAGCUAAUCAUUUUUUCCUAUGUCUUACAUUUUUAAGAUGGAGAUCACACAUGCGGAUGAUAUAGAGUCCUCUUAAUAAAAUGUAAUGACUAAGAAAAGAAUAUUUUAAAUUAUAAUUGAUUAUCAUUCAUCAAUAACUGGUAAGAAACGUUUUCGGAAAAUAUUUUAUUAUUGUUACAGGUGGGUAUAUUAUUAUUGUUUUUGCUCAUAGCUUAUAUGUACUGAAUUCAUAUUUUAUAAAUGGGCGAGUUGACCCGGAAUUAAAAUUAUUAUAAAGCACCGUCGAUGAUACACUAUGCAGCCAUCUUCUUAGUUAUUACCGCUUAACAUACCUAUACCUAUUUCCUGUAAUUUUUGUUUUCUCGUAGUGUAUAGCUUAUUACAAGAGUACCUACGACGACCACGCACACCCGAUUUCGUGCUCGGAAGUUAUUAAAGUUUUUUUUUCUAUUAAGGUCGACUUUUAUAUAGCGCUCGUGUAGUAGGUGUAUCGAUUAUAUAUAUUAUAAUAUGCAUAGUCUUGAUGUCUACUGAUGUCCGUGCAUAUUUGAGGUAAAACUCCAAUUUUUUUUUUUAUACCUAUAACCUAAUAGCAAACAAUUUUCUCGGACAAAAAAUAUAAUGGAGUACGCGUGCAGGCCCUCGUCGAUGUAGGUACAAGUAGGUACUUAUAUCUGCGUUGACUGUAAUAUAAUAGGAGGUACCUACGUGUUUUUGUACCGAAAUCCUAGUCCAUGACAAAAUUUAAGAGGCACAAGUAUUAUUUUCCCUCCGACUAAGCAUCGUCAACUAAUUUACUAUUGUAACUUUACCAAAAAAACAAAACUACAGUUCCCUACAUAUACUCAAUAAUAUAUUAGGUAAAUAGCAGCACCUGCUGUUGUGCAGGGUAGUUGUCUCCAUAGCAGAGAUUUCAACCAACGUGUCAUGAUAUUACCUAUAUUGCUAUAGUGAUUGUUUUCAGUUUUUCCACCGUAUACAAUCUCAUUAAUUGUAACGUUCAAAUUUAUACCAUAUCGUGCCGGGAUAGACAUCGACGAGCAUCAAAAAUAUCUGUUUUCCACUCAGUCACACCACCACCGCCUCGAGUGUCGAGGCAUAUCGAUGAAAAUCGAGAUUAAGAAAACUUUAGUCUAUUGACUAUUCAACCCUACUCGCCAAUCGCAGUUCACAUUUUUUGAAAACAACAUAAGAAUGUGAACCAAACGAUUACACGCCUGCAAUCCCGUUUCUCAACGAGUCGUUUUCACCAAUAAUAAUAAUAAUAAUAAUAACUAUGAUACUGUUGACGACGUCGACGAGGAUCGUGUGUGGCCGUAGUGGUGAACAUCAUCAUAAAAAUAAUGGCCCAGGUACACUAUAGGUAAAUUGUAGGUAUUUAAAGGAAAGGAUUGCGAGGAUGAGGACAGGCAGAAGAUACAAGGCAUGCACGAUGGCGGUGAUAUGCGUAUACAAAAUCAAACGCAAAACAAUAAUAAUAAGUGUGCAGUGAAGUAAAAUUUAAAUCAAAAACGCAUUCAACUGUGUGUAGGUACGGGUGUCUGUAUAAUUAUUAUGUAUAUCAUAUUAUAAUAUAUAAUCUCUCGGGGUUCGGAACAAGUAAACCCGUCAUCAGUUGCUCGCGGUAACAAACAGUAUUAGCAUUAAUUAACAUUUAUAAUAUUUACAUGGACAAAAAAAAUAAAAACUGGAUGCAAUUCUCUGAUACCUAUAAAAAAAAGUCAUUAAUAAUUCGAUAAAAAUGGGCUGAAUACAAAUCAACAUGCUGAUGAUAAAAUAUUGCAAAACACAACAAAUAAUAAAUAUAAUUUAAGUCAUCGAUAUCGUAUCAAUAUCAUGGCCACCGUUAUACUGAACGCGUUAGUCAACAAGUUCAGAGAACGUUUGGUCAAGAUCGUCACAAAUGUAUUUG